RNAcentral lists this ribosomal RNA (897 nucleotides) under Colletotrichum nymphaeae. RNAcentral's name for it is "LSU rRNA". It matches the Rfam family "Eukaryotic large subunit ribosomal RNA", at positions 38 to 966 of the family's 3401-position model. The record is from RNAcentral. Lineage: Eukaryota; Fungi; Ascomycota; Sordariomycetes; Glomerellales; Glomerellaceae. RNAcentral also lists the same sequence under 2 other names.
GCAUAUCAAUAAGCGGAGGAAAAGAAACCAACAGGGAUUGCCCCAGUAACGGCGAGUGAAGCGGCAACAGCUCAAAUUUGAAAUCUGGCCCCAGGCCCGAGUUGUAAUUUGCAGAGGAUGCUUUUGGCGCGGUGCCUUCCGAGUUCCCUGGAACGGGACGCCAUAGAGGGUGAGAGCCCCGUACGGUUGGACACCAAGCCUUUGUAAAGCUCCUUCGACGAGUCGAGUAGUUUGGGAAUGCUGCUCUAAAUGGGAGGUACAUUUCUUCUAAAGCUAAAUAUUGGCCAGAGACCGAUAGCGCACAAGUAGAGUGAUCGAAAGAUGAAAAGCACUUUGAAAAGAGGGUUAAACAGCACGUGAAAUUGUUAAAAGGGAAGCGCUUGUGACCAGACUUGCGUCCGGUGAAUCACCCAGCUCUCGCGGCUGGGGCACUUCGCCGGCACAGGCCAGCAUCAGCUUGCCGUCGGGGACAAAAGCUUCAGGAACGUGGCUCCUCUCGGGGAGUGUUAUAGCCUGUUGCAUAAUACCCUUCGGCGGGCUGAGGUACGCGCUCCGCAAGGAUGCUGGCGUAAUGGUCAUCAGCGACCCGUCUUGAAACACGGACCAAGGAGUCAACCUUAUGUGCGAGUGUUUGGGUGUCAAACCCCUACGCGUAAUGAAAGUGAACGCAGGUGAGAGCUUCGGCGCAUCAUCGACCGAUCCUGAUGUUCUCGGAUGGAUUUGAGUAAGAGCAUAUAGGGUUGGACCCGAAAGAAGGUGAACUAUGCGUGUGUAGGGUGAAGCCAGAGGAAACUCUGGUGGAGGCUCGCAGCGGUUCUGACGUGCAAAUCGAUCGUCAAACAUGCGCAUGGGGGCGAAAGACUAAUCGAACCUUCUAGUAGCUGGUUUCCGCCGAAG